GAGAACGCACGUUUACUCGCUGUUGCGGGCCGGCGAAAAAUUCCUGCAUAUCUGCAUAUCUUAUUUUUCUAAUUAUCGUAAUCAUUGGCUGGAUGCGCUGGGCGCGCGUGGAAAUUCUCCACGCUCGCAAUCGCGAUAAUGCCGCGUAAAAUGCUCGCGGCCGCAAAGCGACGCGCUGCUUCGCUCGACAGUUACCGCUUUUGUGCUUUCAUUGCUUAAUUGGCAGUAUUUAAUUUUAAUUGUUACCACUCCCGCGGCCGGGAAUAAUGAAUACCGUUCACUGUUGAGUCUCCUCCCCGUCCUUCUCGGCCCCUUAUUAGCCGAGCUGCUUGCGCUGCGUCGAGCGUUACGAGCUACGCGAGCAUCAUAACCGAUCUAAAUUAGUUGUUGCCCUCUGAUUGCCGGGGUACGCCUCUGGCACCCCGUUGAAACGAACCAAUCUAUGGCGCUCCCUCGAACCGGCCAGAUAUCGCGUACAAUUUGCGUUUCACGUUCCGCUCCGGAGAUUUUCAUAUCGCGCGAAACGCGCGAGUGGAUAAAGCCAAACAGCAUCGAUUCUCUCAUUCGCGUAAACCCGACUUGAACAUUUCGAAAUCAAUUCAACGAACAGACUCCGGUGCUCCGACGAGGAUUUACGGUUUAUCACGUGACAAGAAAAAGAAACGAGCUAUCAACGUGCUCCAAGGGGGGAGUAUUUUUAUCUUUUCAUUCGGAGCAUAAAUUUCGUAUGACAGACAUAAAUUACGCGUUAAAUUAUUUAAUCGCGACGGGCACUCUCUUAUCCGACGCUCUUAUCCACACACGCGGCGAUUACAAGGAUGCUCGAAAAUUGCGGUGAAUUAUGCGCGAGAUUGCGGAAUUUAUUACACGCCCACGGGGGAAAAGAAAAAAAAGAACAGCCGAGAGAAAAAGAAUGUUAAAUGUCGCCGCGCCGCGCGACAGUUUCAAUUCGCGACGCGAACACGAGGAUUCUCACUUAAAGCCGAUAAUUGGCGGUUCAGCAUGUUGCGGGCGACGUUGCUUGAUUGCGAGGAAGCAUCGUCGCCGAUGCUUGAUGCGAGGCGAUUUAUAACGCAUCUGUCACGCACCGGCAACUUUAGAGAGAAAUCGCAUCUGCAUACUUGUUCUUAAAUAGAUUGCGUUUAUCCAUUUCUCGCCGGGAAGGGUAGCCGACGAGAUUCACCUUCGAUGCUCGAAAAUUCGCGAGUCUCAUCGCGCGCGUUGCUGAUCCAGCCGAUUAUCAUGACGAUGAUCGCCAACGUCUCGUGAAUCUCGGGCUGAGGAAUUAUUUUGCAAACCGUCUCUUGCGUAACGCUUGUUCGGUAUAAUGCAUCCGAGAGAAAAAUAGCAUUCUGCAAGAACAAUAGCGACAGCACACAUCGCAGCUCGAGCUCACGAUUAUUUUCUCGUUUUCGCUUUUGUAUAGAUUGUAUAGAUUAUAUUUAUAUAAUAAAAGGAUAUGCACACAAUAACGAGGACUAUAAUGACUCUAAUCAGAAUAAUUUUAACUUAAUUUAAACGAAUGAUCGAAGCUGUAUGGAGCUUCGAAAAUUCUUCGACUCCAGUGAUCCCAUCCUUUCCCGCUCUUCUUCACGGAGAAGCAACAAUUUAACGAUAAAAAAUCGCAAGAUUGCGUGCGAGAUCGAUGCAAACGUACGAUGUGCCGGUAUGUAUGUGCACAGCUAUCGCCACCCGUUCCGCAUGUCCAGCAGCAAUCUGGAUUAUUUGCCAAGGGUUGCAUAGCAGUCACGCUUGGGGCGCGCAACAAUUUUCUUCGCGGCAACAUCUCGUGGUGUUUUGCAACGGCUGCACGUCCGAAACAUUAUCGGUUACUCCAGCAUUUACGCCAUGCACCUCGGGCAACCGGUGCGAUUAUCAACAAACUCCGCUCGCGAAAGAAGAGAAAGAGAGGGAGAGAGGAAGGGAGGGAGAGUGUAUUCUCAAGAUUUAUUAUGGAUCUCGGUUUUCUACGUGCGUUCACUCCCGUCAACGGGAGAACCACGUCGGCCAUAACCGAGAAACUUUCCGAGACGCGUCCGCGCCAGAUACGUGCAAUUAUCUACACGCGUGUACGGAUAAUAAUCUGAUAUCGCGUGGUAUGCAUUAUAAAAAACCCAUUUAUUACGCAGGUGCAAAGUAUUAUAAUAGACACUGGAUGUAGCGCACUUUCCGUUACGUUUUUCCAACAUUUAAUGAUGGUGCGCGUAAGUCAUACGGUAAGAAAUGACAGACGUCCGUCAGGAAAAAUUGCAAACGCGUUCGUUACAAGAGGCAUUAUAAAAAGUUUCUCUUUCUCUCUCAUGAUAUCGAACAUUGUGAGUGUCUUUGCCGUACAAACGGAUAAUUAAAAGAUACAAGCAUAUUCGAGUCCGUGUCGUAUUGCAAGCAGUCGCUUUCACCAGGCAGAAUGGAAGAAGAACAAGAGUCACAUUUGGCAAUCUGGUAAUUGGGCAAAUUUAUUGCGCAUACACAGAGACACACGAAUAAGUACGCGAAAUUACAUUCCCGAUAGAUUCAGCCGCGAGUGCUGGCUCGCGGAAGCAAUCAGUACGAAAGUUGCCGGUCAAAAGUAUUAAUCCUUUCGCGAGAUCGCGGCGGACGAGCUCGCGUCUCGGCGACCUUUCGGACGCGAUUCACGCGAUGUGGGAAUGAUUUAUCUCGGAUGCACCCGGGAAGAUGAAUCCGACCAACGGUGGAGUACCCGAGUAAGCCGGCCGUAAAAAUAUCGCUUGCCUCGUAAAUUACAUUCUACGGCGCAGCCUUGCGUUACACGCUCGUCUCGGGGGCCCGAUCCUCCCGUCUCCGCGAGAGAUAUUUGCAAUGAAGCGGGCUUUUUAAUACCGCCUGGCUCGCAUGUAAACAGCGAUACGUGAAACGCGAAUCUCGCACGGCGAAGCCUUGACGCACGAAAAACACCUGCAGCCGUAACGAGAAAAACUGCGCUUGAGAAAUGAUCCAGCGAUUCGUAACGCUGCUCGACAAAGAGAAAACAAGAGUACAACUCGGUCGGCUCGUAAAAAGCUUCUCUCUCUCUCUUAUGAGUUUCAUUAAUUUUAUACAUAAUAAAGCGAAUCCGCCGCAAGUAAUGGCGCAAGUCGUCCUCGGGAAAGGCCAGUGCGAAGUACAAAAGCGCGGUAGCGGUAAACAUCGCGCGGGCGAUCAUGACAGAUGAAAAUAAUCGCAGAAAAUUAAGAUUCAAUGGGAAACGUACGGGGGGAGGUACCGAUGAUUUCAACGUCGCGAUGAGCACCACGAGCACGGGUAUUAUCGAAUGCAAACGUGCUCAGAAUAGGAUUUGCAGCUGCGCGCUCGUUCUCCGGCUUACUUAAUCGCCAUAACUUCCGCUCGGAUUUACGUGACGUCACCUCCGACGUCGGUCGCGAGGAGAGCAAGGCGAUACCGAGCCAAAAAUAUAAUAAAGCUCGCCGGACUCUUGGCAUCGUUUUAUCGACAAUGUCGGAUCGACUUUGCGGCGCGUCUCGCGUUAAGCUCUUAUCGAUCAUUCGUUUAUCCGCGAUUACGGUGCGUGUCACCGUACGUUUGUGGUAGCGUGCUGCUUGAGCCUUCCUCAUUCAUCCCUUAAUCCCGAUCUCGGCAAUUUCGCCUCGAUAAACUGUGCGUGCACCGAACGGCGAACGGCGAACGGCUCGCUCUCCGCGAGCACAUGCAUUCUGCCCGCAUUGAAAUUACCGGUUUUCUCGAUGAGGAUAUUAUUAUCCAUCAUAAAGCCAUCUGCCGCGUACCGCGACACACAUCGCGGACUUAUGCGUGUGCAUCGAAUACGCGAAGCUGCAAUUUGCUAAAACGCUGUCAUUCGCGAUGAACGCAUAGUACUUAGAUGUGCUGAAAUAGUUUAUGCAGUCCUCGCGAGUCCACCGUUUCGACCGCGUCGGUGUAAUUUGCAAUGUUAAUUGCUGUGCCCGCGACAGGUAAAAUCUAUUAAUUUGCAAAUUGCAGAGUGGCCGUGAAACGUCCAGGGAAAAUCUGUUCCCGUGUCAGUCCUUCAUCCUUCAGCAGAUUAUUUUAUACGACUGCAGAGUAAAAAAAUAACACCGGAUACGAAACCGUUUUCUUGAUGAAGCAGAAAGGAACAUCGAGAUAUCGGCGAAACGGAUAAAGCAACGGGGGGAGGGCAACGCGAGAGACGGCGUCCUGACCGGCACACGCAACCCCCUUUACGCACGUUAAAAGUGAACGGCCAUGCGUGAUGCAAAAGUUGUAAUAUUAUUCGAAAGUCUUUCAAAGUUGAGGCGGUUCGAACGGCCGGUUUUACGACGGGGCACCGACGUCGCACAAUGCCGGUCCUAGUGGUUUUACAUAUCGUAAAGUGCGUGCACGCGCGAGCUAAGGAGCGCAUAUAAAUCGGCUUGCCUGCUGUUAUGUCUCCUGCGUGCAAAGGGCCGUUUACCAUUUUAUGCUCUCGGGGCCUUUAAGUCCUUUUCCGGCCUUCCUUCUCUCCCGUCCCGCCUGGCGCGAAAGUCGAGUUUUGAACGCCAAGGAGAGCAAAAAGUCACCGGAACAAAAUUGAAAUUGCCGAGAUCGAGAUUAACGGAUGAAUGAGGAAGGCUCAAUUUGAUAGAAGCUCGACGAAGAAGGCACCGACGUCGUUUCGCGAAUUGUUGAUGACGAGCUGAUCAAGUUUCCUCGAAGCAGAUUGUCGACGAAGGAAAAAGACCGAAUCGAUUCCGUGUGAAAGGAGCAUCGAAUAAUAUUGCUUGCUUGGCGCACUUUAUUUCCUUGUGCGUUGUAAAUUAUGCGAUAUGCGAGAUACGAGUCGUGCUCCUCAUAAACAAAGUUCCUCGGCAAAAAUAAAACGCGCGUAAGCUCAGCACUAUGUUACUCCUGAUUUGAAUAAGCUGACCGUGAAGCGUGCAUUGUUAUCGAACAACAGCGUGCGAGCGAGCAAUCAUUUAAAUGUAAAGCCAAUUAAGUCUGAGGCAACAUGAAGAGGAUACGCGUCGUUUUCGCGUUUAAUAAGGAGCGCGUCGGGCCCCGUAAACACAAGGGCCCAAGAAAAAAUUUAAUUACGUUAAUUAUUAAUAGAAAUGACGGAUACAAGUAGGCGCUCCGUCUAUCAGUGAAUUAUCCAGCGCGAUCUGCGCGAUAACGGACAAAUUGCGUGUAUCAGGCACGCACUGCGAGUCAUACAUCUCCGCGGAAAUAUUCGAUUCGCCGGUUAGAACGCAUCGAAUGCUCGCCUCGGUUCGGCUUGGCGUGGAUGUAACCAGCAUGAGAUCAUUAUUUAAUUCGCGCUGUACUCGACGAACUCGUGAGAUUCACGUUGCGUGCACGUGCGUGUUACAUACGUACGUGCGGCAUAAUGAAACAUUCGUGUCUCGUGAUAUCGUCCCGUACAAGCGUACGCGCGAUACCCGUGUGUGCCCCGGAUACACACAUAGGAGGCAGCUGUGCAGGUUGUCAGCGUGACAGGACACGUGAGAAGGAAGGACCGACCUCGAGUACGUAGGACGGGACCGCUGAAAAGGAACGCGACGUGAUUUUCGAGCCAUGCGCGUAAGUAUAAAUACGUUGCAGCUUCGAGAAUACUAUCUAAGAAAAGCUUCGCACGUCGCACACAUUAUAUAUAGACAUCGUCCUUGCACUUUAUGCGCGCGAUCGUUCUCGUCGUCACCUGCAUCCAAGGCGGCGGCGGCGGCGAUGACAACGACGAUUUAUUCGCGUGCGCGUCCAACAGUGUGUGUACUCGUCUCUCCCGUCCGUCCGCGCGUGCAUGUGCAAUUAUAUCGCAUGCGAGAGCGAUUGCCAAUCGUCAAACGUUCUGUCAGAUUUGUCCGAAUGACGAGACGCAAUUCGCGACGCAGUAUACGGCCUGCGUUAUUGCACGCGUUGCACAUCUUAUAGGCUCUGCGACCGGAUGAGCGUUUGCAGUGCUAGAUAAGAUAAAUGCGCUUAUGCACAUCGCUCGACCGUCACGUACAUAGUUGCCCGUAAUGUCAAGGAAAAACGCCGAGCCGCGCCUCGGAGGCCCCUUCGGCCGCUCCGACUCGUCGCCGCUGCUCGCAGACGCGGACGAGCGCGCUGCAAGCGCGCGAUUGUACGUGCGCACCGUUCCCUGUCCCCCCCUGUCCAUGGUGCUGCAAGUGCAACCGUGUCUGUCUCCCGUUCUGUUCCGUCCCGUCAUGUCUGUCCCCAUCUCCUUUCUUGUCUUUCUCUUCCUGUUUCUCUCUCGCUCUCUCCCUCGUUCUCCGUUUCUGUCUGGCAGCUUGCGGUUAUGCAAGCUCACGGCAUACAUUGCCAAUUUUCUCGACCCACGACUGACUCAGUUUCAUCCUCCCUUCCUCCCCCCCCCCUCUCUCUCUCUCUCUCUCUCUCUGUGUGCGACUCCACUGCUCGGUGACCACGAUGGACGGAGAGACGGACGGAUGGACGGGCGAACGGACGGAACUCCUCCAAGCGUACCCCGUUCUUUAAUAAAAAGGCAGCGACUUCUUCCUCGCUCUCGCACCGUGCACCGUGUCUAAGUUACACAUAUUAACUCGUCCGUGCAGACUGCAAUUGCAAUCUUCCCUCUCGUUUUGCUUCCGUUCGGCUUCUCGCGUUCUCCUUCCGUCCCGCUCCCGCCAUUCCUCUUUGUCCUCUGAGUUUCUCUUCUUCCCUUCCCUCCGCCAUCCGUUUCUCCGUCGCUCCUCUCCUCAUCCUCCGGAACCACUCACUGGUUCCUUCUCUGUCACUCUUUGGCGCCGGUUUCUCUCCAACUCGCGCGACUUCUCUCUUCCUCGUGCGUGCCUGUCGUGCCGUCUCACUCGCACGGAGAAAUGUGCAAUUCAGGGCCGUACAAAUCCCGCGGCCACUUCAAGUCUCGGCGCGCCGAGACCGAUUCCUCUUGCUCGCUGCGCGGAUUUUGCGAACGCGCGCCGCGUUGCCGCGCGAUUUACGUGCGUAAUCGCGCCGGCUACAUGCACGAUAAAUCAGUAAUAAUCGAUGCGGGAGUAUUAAUAUAUCGCGCAGGCUAGCUGGGGGACAACACGACGCAAUAAACAACGCAACAGUAACCGGGCGUUACGUCUGCACAAUAAAAUUAACGAUGCCGUAAAAGCUUUAUAGUUUUGUGCGGUGGCGCCUUUCGCGCGUGCGGCAAUAAUUUUAAUUAGUUAAUUGUCGGGAAUUUUCAUCUAUUGCCUGUCAUCCGAGCGAGCGUUCACGCGGGGGUAGCUCUGUAUCGAUCGUGUCGCACCGAGACUGUCCUUGAGGCGCUUUAGUUGGAGCGAUUUUAAAUCGCCUUUUUCAAGGCGGAUUAUUUUUAAUAAAAGUUGACGACGUGUUACUCGUUUAAUUUGCAGACCCCCAAUGUUUUCGGAAAAUCAAGGGUAGAAAUAAAACAUCCUCGUACGAGCACGCAGUGGAAAAUAUGUCUGCACAAGUGUUGCAACGUGUGCCCAAAUGGGAGUGGUGCGGCGGGAGCCUGAUCGCGGCGCGUAAAAGCGGAAAUAAGUAAGUCAGGAAAUCGAGAAAUCUAAAGUUGAACAGUCGCACCGCCGCGUACGUGCCGCUGCAGCGCCUGACCAAUAACACGUGAAAUUAAUCCAUGGCUAAUUUAAGCUCCAACCGCGUACGGCCACGUCCUACGACGAGCACUGGAAUGGCUGCUCACCAACGCGGAUCGAUUCGAGAAAGAAGAAAAAUUGAAAAACGCAUUAUCGACUGAUAUCAAGCUGAAUCAACUAAGAUUUUCAGCUCAAGUACUCGUAAAAUUCGAGGAAUAAAAAGGAAUUGCGGAAAACAAUUUCCCGACGGAAAUGAUCGGCUCGCAUUCGUUGCAUAUUUCCUGAAACAACCGCGCUACGUUUAUUCGAGUUUUCCUCAGAAUCGAGUCGCCGAGGAAAUUUCUACGAGACACUCGCGAUAAUCACACAGUCACCCUAUCGGGUUAUCGAGAAAAAAAGCAGCGUACGGCGGGGCCGUGAUUUUUACGCGCGAUAGAGAUAAGAUGGGAAUGGCAUGAUUCUAACGGUACUGUCGGCAUUCGAAAACGACCGUGUCGAUCUCGAUCCGGUUGAAAACGUGAUAUGAGGAAAACUUGACGUUAAUUAUAACGGUCGUGCGAUAACCACGUGUAUUUUUGUCGGCGUGCAAAUGUUCAUUUGGAAGCGGUGGUAGAUGCGCUAUAGAUACGAGAUGGUAACGCAGAUUCGUCGAGGUAUUCGAUCGAUUUACGCACAAAUACACAUGAGAAAUGUCAGUGGCUCGCAAAAGCCGAUCUACGACCGCGAUCCGCGAUCUGAUGCACCGCAAAGCGCAUACGGUCCUGUUGCGUCGUACAUUCCAUUCGUCUUCGUCUAAGAAGCAAGCGCCUCUCUCGCGCUCGUCAUCUUCAUUGCGACAUUACAUGCAGCUCGCACCGCAAAGUUCAUCUCUCUCUCUCUCUCUCUUUCUCUUGGUGCCUCUCGCGCGAUCAAUCCGCGAUCUCGUCACGUACGUCCGUACAUCGUCUCGUGUGUUCAAUUGUACUCGAUAUUAUCUUUCUGCGUCGGUUUUUGCACUUUCGUAUUUCUUUUUAGAAGAGAAGAAGAACGAGAGAGAGAGAGAGAGAGAGAGAUGCCACGUGCAAACUUGGAACAUAACUCGCACGAUGCGUUAUCGCGGACAUGUCUACUGCGUCGUAACGACGUCUGACGCUAUUGCGUAACUCGAAUUAUUAUGCCCCUACCCACCCUUCCCCGGAGCGAUAUGCACGAUCGUUAUUAUUCUCGCUCGCAAUCGCGCAAAGGGAAACGAAGAAAAAAGACAGAAAUAAGGACACAUUCGAAGGUGUUCGUUGAAACUCGACUCUGAUUUCGCUGCAGCUGCAAGUCGCGGCAAGUGUUGCACGGCGAAGUGCUCGCGGUACAAGGAAAUGCCACCAAGGUCGACGGGUAAAUUUGCACAGCUCCGCCGACUUAUCUGUUUAUUUCUAUGAUUAUCGUUGUGCCUCGUAUCGCGCUAUCAAACUAUCAAAAGCCGUCGUGUAUUCGUGCCUGCGAUAUAAUAGAUACGUGCGCGCGUUCUCCGUCCCGUUCGUAGCCGCUGUUUCUCGCGCAUCUUCUCCGCGCGAUCACAUUCCGCCCGCGUCUGCUUAGUAAUUUCAUCAAUCUUCUUUUUCGCUCUCAUUUCGCUCUCCUACUUGCGCUACUCUCUCUCCCGCCAUUUAUUAUAUCUCGCGCGAUAUCUCUCGCUCUAUUUCACACGCGCGCCAAACAACCGAACGAGCGAGCUAGCUCCUUUAAUUCCACGCGCGAUCAAACGGACGCGAGUAAACCAAUAUCACGCGGUCGCCCUCGGCGAGGGAGACACUUCUCCUCUAAAAUUUCUCUCGAUAAAUUUCAUGAAUCGCGAUUAUAAUGAAAUCGCGCACUUGCGGAAAACAUCACCGCCGACAAAUGUUGGCAAACGUUUCCCUAAGUGCGAAUUCUGUCCCGUCUCGGUGCAAAGUCGAGUAUCGGCCGACUGGUCCAGCUCGCCUCGCGCUGUUAAUUCCGGGGGGCAGGAUUCUAGACACGAAAAGGGUUGCGGUGAUUAUCAUCCGGCACUCCGCACGCACGCAAUCCUCGUCGUCCGCGUGCGUCCGCCCGCGGACAUCUCCUCGCACGCCACGUCGCGUGAGUGCCAGGGAAGAGCGAGUGCCAAGGUGGACACAAAUGUGUGGUCGCUCUCGCAACAGUAUGCAAAAGUUGUAAAUGUCGCACGCCGCGCGAGUCCUCGCUAUAAACGAUACCGAAAAAGAUCCGCGCGACAUCGCUGCCGGCGCAGUCCAUCUAAUUCCGUCCGUGACCGCGUCCCGUUUCUUGCCAGACGGACCGAGAAAGUGGAGACAUGUCGCGUGCAACAGGUUCCCGAGAAAUCCGCGGGAAGCGCGAAAUAUCUUCGUCGUCGUCGUCGUCGUGCGGAACGGAUUGGCGCGGUCACGCUUGCCGCGCGCGCGCGCGCGCGCGUGGAUGUCAAUUUUUGGGAGAAAAUCUGGCGCGACGCCCACGUUCCUCUUCACUGCAACUUUUCCAUAAAAAUCACUUCUCUUUACACGCUGGCGUGCUUGAAUGUCUGAAGAGUCGUGCCUCUCCGCUCCGUUCCUCGCGACUUGGAGUCUCGGUCUGUCUUUCAAAAUCAACCCUGCAAUUCGACGUCGGUUUGUGUAACUUUUUGCUGCGAUCCCGAACGUCACGCAAUGAGCAAUUGAUUAUGAUGAAAUCGCGAUAAUUGAUCCAUCACUAACAAGUUUCCCAACGGCCAGUGUUUUAAGAGGCGGAUUUACAUUCGACACACGAUGCAACCAUGACAUCGACACUACUUCACGUGAUUGCUUAAUUCGAACAAUGCAAUCAAGUGAAUCGACGACUCCGCCGGCGUCUGACAGCCGAAUAAUUACACGGCACUAGUCACUCUAAUUAAUUGCGGCGCGAUCGUAUCGCUGCAGACUUUGUUGUCGCGCGUGAGAUUGUCAGUUCAUCCCGACGUCAACAAAUCGCGCAAUUACGUUUUUGUGUACUUGUGCGUACUCCUUUACCAAGAAUCCAUUUUUUACUCAAAAA
Ooceraea biroi (clonal raider ant) is the source of this 10523-nucleotide long non-coding RNA. RefSeq lists it as uncharacterized. The record is from RefSeq and is a predicted model, not a curated record. Lineage: Eukaryota; Metazoa; Arthropoda; Insecta; Hymenoptera; Formicidae.